Molecule: RNA transcript, 1296 nt
Organism: Oryza sativa Japonica Group (Japanese rice)
Lineage: Eukaryota; Viridiplantae; Streptophyta; Magnoliopsida; Poales; Poaceae
Gene name: dof zinc finger protein DOF3.1-like
Source: RefSeq, a predicted model, not a curated record
AGCUCGCUCGCCUAGCCUAGCCGGUCCACGACGAAAACCAACACAUCACCAACUGCUCAGGCAUAAUUGCUUUGCCGCCCUCCAGGUCGGACUGACUGCUACGUCUCUGUCUACGUAUACCCCAGCCUCCUCGUCGUCGUCUCGUACUAGGAUCUUGCUACAAAUAGCCGGCUGCUUGCUAGCUUUAGCUUCUUCCUUCUCCCGAGAGAGACGAUCGAGAUCACGCGCCCACAGAAACUGCAGAUUAAGCGGCAGAGAUUGUAGAUAGCGCGAGGUUAUUAAGGCCAGCAGUCUGACCGCGCGCGGCAUGCCCUUCUGCUGCUGCAACCGACCAAAUGGCUCCUGCGGUUGCCUCCUCCCCGUCACUCGUGCUCUCCGCCGCCGCCGCCACCGCCUCCAACAAGCGCCCGGCCGAUUCCGACGCCUCGCCGCCGCACCAGGGAGAUCGCACGGGGCAGCAGGAGAAGAAGCAGCAGCAGCUGGAGUGCCCGCGCUGCCGAUCCACCAACACCAAGUUCUGCUACUACAACAACUACAGCACGUCGCAGCCGCGCCACUUCUGCCGCGCCUGCCGCCGCUACUGGACGCACGGGGGCACGCUCCGCGACGUGCCGGUGGGCGGCGCCUCUCGCCGCGGCGGCGGCGGCAAGCGCCGCAGGGUCUCCGCCGACGCCGACCCUUCCUCGGCGUCGCCGCCGCCACCCACGACUUCCACCACGGACGCGUACGCCGACCUCCCAGCCGGCUUCCCGUUCCUCAGUGACGGCGCCUUCCUGCCGCAGUUCGGCCUCGCCGGCGUUGCGCCGGCCGCGUUCUCUUGGGCAUCGGCUGUCCCUGACUUGUACAACUGCGGGAUCGCGCCGUGGGACGAUGGAACGGCGGUCACCGGCGCGGCGUGGGACAACUUCGCCGACAUCGCCGGCCUUGAUCUCAGCUGGCCGCCGCCGGGUAACUGACGAACAGUACACAGCUGGUCGCUCGUGUUUUGGGGGGCUCCGGUUUUAGCAAAGCAGCCUCAAGUAGUGCGUUCUUCGAUCGGUAUGCAGGUAGUGUGUUCUUCGAUCGGUAUGAAGUAUAUUUUGCUGAGCUAGGGAUUAUGAUAUAAUUAUUGGGAAUGUAAUUAAGCAGCUCAAUUAUCCAACGUGGUGUUUGCAGUUUUCUUCUCUCACCAAUUUCAUACGCUUGCACAAUGAUGUGGUGAUUAUCAUUGGGAUCAGUGAAUCGUGAUCUGUAGCUGGAAGAUGUGUUUACGUAUGUGCAGUGUUAAUGACAAUAAUAAGAGUUUGUUGCCAUCAA